UCCCUUUGCUCCUACAAGUGUUAAUGUAAAGCAUCAAGCUUUGAUAUUUUUGGCAGUCUUCGAGAGGAGUGGCCUCACCUUUCUCAUCAGUACAACCCUCUAAUCAUACAACUACUCAUCAACCCUUACUUACAUCAAUAUGUAUGCCACGUUGCUAACUAAAAAUGUUAAAUUACAUAGGACGAGUGCAAAUUACAGGUAACAAAAGCAAAAUAAGGGAGGUCAAAAGCCUAUGAUGUAUGGCAAGGUACUUGAUACUUAUAAUCCAAAUCCUUUUCUGCUUACUCUGAAUGUUCCACGGCGAACUGGAGAAGAAAGUGCCUCAAAAGCCCCACCAUUCAGUUAUCAAAAUUAUACUGCAGCUCCCCGUUGUGCAAUAAAAGGAUACAAGGUAUUUAGUCCAUCCCAGAUGGAAUGAUUUGUGUUCUUGCAGGGUUUACUACAUACACAUUCAUAUAUCCAGUUGCUCAAGGUUGAUCAUGCUCGCUGAAUGUUGUAUAAGUUGCUUUCUAACAUCCACCUUGGAUCCCAUUAGUGAAGAGAAGACGACAUUUGCUUCAGCUGCAUCCUCCACUACUAAUUGCUUUAACAGCCUAGUCUCUGGGUUCAUUGUUGUUUCCCAUAACUGUGCUGGCAUCAUUUCUCCCAAUCCUUUGAACCUCUGUAUGUUAUAUGAUGCAUUUGAAGGAAAGGAACGCUGGACCUUUUUAAGUUCUACAUCAUCAUAGCAGUAGUAUGCUUGUUUUCCCCUUUCAACCUUAUAGAGAGGUGGAACACCAACAUAAAUGCAACCUUCUUCAAAAAGAGCUCUCUGAUAUCUAAAGAAAAAUGUCAACAACAAUGUUCGAAUAUGAGCACCAUCAACAUCGGCAUCUGUUAAAAUUAUGAUCUUAUGAUAACGGAGAGCUUCCUUUUUAAAAUCCUCCCCCUUAACUCCAAGUCCUAAACCAAGAAUAAGAUUUUGAAUCUCUUCAUUUUUAUACAUAGCUGCUUCAUCCUUUCUCUCAAUAUUCAAAAUUUUGCCUCUCAAAGGAAGAAUAGCCUGAAAGCGCCGAUCACGACCUUGUUUUGCACUUCCACCAGCUGAAUCACCCUCAACGAUGAAAAUUUCAGCUUCUUCAGGAUUUGUGGCUGAACAAUCAGCAAGCUUCCCUGGAAGAGAGGAUGAUCUUAAGACACUUUUCUGUCUCACCAACUCCCGAG
Molecule: unclassified non-coding RNA, 1203 nt
Filed under: Hevea brasiliensis (rubber tree)
Lineage: Eukaryota; Viridiplantae; Streptophyta; Magnoliopsida; Malpighiales; Euphorbiaceae
Source: RNAcentral